UACGAAGGGGGCUAGCGUUGUUCGGAUUUACUGGGCGUAAAGGGUACGCAGGCGGCCUAUCAAGUCAGGGGUGAAAUCCCGGGGCUCAACCCCGGAACUGCCUUUGAAACUGGUAGGCUAGAGUAUGAGAGAGGUGAGUGGAAUUCCUAGUGUAGAGGUGAAAUUCGUAGAUAUUAGGAGGAACACCGGUGGCGAAGGCGGCUCACUGGCUCAUAACUGACGCUCAGGUACGAAAGCGUGGGGAGCAAACAGG
Molecule: ribosomal RNA, 253 nt
Filed under: uncultured bacterium
Lineage: Bacteria
Description: partial 16S ribosomal RNA
Rfam family: Bacterial small subunit ribosomal RNA
Source: RNAcentral